ACUGGCUGUCACCAAACUCUGGAAGGUGUCACCAAUGGCCUCCUUCUCCUUGUAAGAGACAGCUCCAAAGAAUAAGGAGUGGAACUGGAAAAUGCAAUAUUUGUACAGGUUAAAAAUGGCUCUGGUUUGAAAUGAAAUCUGCCCUAAUCUGCAGUCAGAGUUCACUGGGUGACUGCAGGGGUCCCACCAGGGCAGCUCCCAAACGCACCUCCCACAUCUGUCGAAGUGGAUGGACACAGGAACGCUCGCGGCCUCGGAAAACGCCAGCAGCCCCUGCAAGAAGGGUGGGGGUGAAGUGUUUGUUAAACCCAGACAUGAAUAUUGGAAUAUCUGCUUCUUCCACAGGCAUCCAUCACAAAUAAUAUUCCCAGCUGUCUGUUGUUGCAUGGAUGGGAAGCCCAAAAUGCAGCGUGACUUUAGGAGAUUAAUCAAAAUUGCUGACAAUCACCAGAGCACAAUGGAAGUGGACUGAGGCUCUUUGUUUUAAAUCACAACCUUUUCCUGACAGGAAAUUGGCUGUUCAGUCUCAGGGAAGGGAUAACUGCUUCUCCUUCUGACAGGGCUGGGACACGGCUGUCCAGCAGUAAUGUUGGAAAAACAUGGAUGAGAAGAAC
Long non-coding RNA from Ficedula albicollis (Collared flycatcher), 614 nucleotides. RefSeq lists it as uncharacterized. The record is from RefSeq and is a predicted model, not a curated record. The transcript is spliced from 4 exons. Lineage: Eukaryota; Metazoa; Chordata; Aves; Passeriformes; Muscicapidae.